This 54-nucleotide microRNA precursor is filed under the name Schmidtea mediterranea. RNAcentral describes it as "Sme-Mir-1-P26_pre stem-loop". Lineage: Eukaryota; Metazoa; Platyhelminthes; Tricladida; Dugesiidae. The record is from RNAcentral.
ACAUUAUUCAAAACAUUGAAUCACAUCGAACUGUGGAAUGUUGUGAAUAGUGUC